This is an RNA transcript of Antechinus flavipes (yellow-footed antechinus), 2207 nucleotides long. It is a transcript of the gene named spermatogenesis associated 18, with no coding region annotated. The transcript has 15 exons. The record is from RefSeq and is a predicted model, not a curated record. NCBI's taxonomy places the organism in Eukaryota, Metazoa, Chordata, Mammalia, Dasyuromorphia, Dasyuridae.
GUCCGGGCAGCGGCAGGAGGGGCACCCUAAGGGGCUGCGCAUGCAGGCUCCGGAGGGCCGCGGAACAUCUCCCCUCCCCUCCCCUCUACCCUUUCCCCACUCCUUGGCGUCGGGCGCUUGCAGGUGCUGAGGACCCCGGCGCACAGAAUGGAGGCGCCUUUCGGCUUCUAAGGGUCCUCCUCCCCCAUUUAAGGAGAAAACAUCCUUCCUGCCUUCCGCCUUCCUCGAAGUGACCUCACCACACCCCUGUAAAAACCGGGGAAUAGCCAUGGCGGACAGCCUGAGAAGAUUAGUUAACAACGAAAGCUGUCGGACCUUGCAAGACAAAUUGGAGAACUGGUACAAGGAUUACUAUAUGAACUCAUGUGAUCAAAACUUGAAUUGUUGCUGUGAAAUAAUUGAAAUGAAUUCCAGAAUACAGGGGCAGCUCUUUACAAUCCUCAGUCUAACAGCACAAGAAGGUGGACAUUAUGCUGGUGUGGAAACAAUCAAAUCUCGACUUCUGCCCUGGCUAGGGACUUGUUUCUCCAAUUCAUCUAUAGCAAAACCCAUCGAAAACAAUAUAAAUCUUUUGCAGGUAGAGUCACUUGAAAAGGACAGACAGCUACGAGAACUUUCUGCUUCUCGGGAGCGGGAGAUACAACAAUUAGAUUCGGAAUUGAAUUCAACUCGUGUUCAACUCAGCAUGGUUCAACAAGAACUCAAGUCUCUUCAAGCCCAGGAGGAGUCUCGCCAACGCAGCUUGGAUAUGCUAACUGACUAUGAACGACAACUUCGGACUCUGAAGGACGAGAUCGCUGUCCUGUCUGCAGAAAAAUCUGUUCUCCAGAGCAGACUUUCCAGGAGCCGGUCUCCUAGCCCUGUGUCCCAGCACAGCAGAUCUUGCAGUCCCAUGCAGAAAGAGAUGCAGAAAGAGCUGCAUAAAGACAUGCAGAAAGAGCUGCAUAAAGAGCUGGUGCCCUGUUCACCUCUGGUCAGCCGGCUGAGCUCUGUCUCUCGAAAAGCUAAUCUCCUGGCCCGGUUCAGCGAUGCUUAUGCUCAAGGCCGCCUGGAGGCCCAGACCUUGCUCAAGAGGUUCAUUGACAAGAUGGAGACAGUGCAGAGGAUCAUCUAUAUUGCCACAGUGGAAUCUUUCCAUGUAGCUAAAAUGGCAUUCAGACACUUCAAAAUACGUGUGAGGAAGACUUUAUCACCAACUCAUAUUGGGUCAGAAGAGCUUGAGGAUGCUGUCAUGGAUUAUGUAAUUUGCCAUCUUGAUUUAUAUGAUGUUCAAUGCAGUGUUAACGAUGUGAUUCGUGCCAUGAACGUGAACCCCAAGAUUUCUUUUCCACCUGAAGUUGAUUUUAUCGUUAUCAACAGCUUCAUCAAGGAGAUAUGCUGUAUUGCAUUUGCAAUGCAGACUUUGGAUCCUCCUCUAGAUAUUGCAUUUGGUGCUGAUGGAGAGAUUUUUAAUGAUUGCAAGUAUCGUCGCAGCUGUGACUCUGAUUUCACAGCCCCCUUGGUCUUCUAUCAUGUGUGGCCUGCUCUGAUGGAGAAUGAAAUUGUCAUUAUGAAAGGAGAAGCUGUCACCAAGAGAGGGGCUUUUUGGUCAUCUGUGAGAAAUGUCAACCGAAGUCGGAGUAGAAGUCUAAGCCCUGUCCAUCACCAUGGUAGCUCCGGUAAAAGCGGGGUAUCAAGAAGUCGGAGCCCUUCUCCACCAAGAAAUAUAAAUACAAUUUUCUCUUGCAGACCGAACAAGCCUAAUGCUUUUUCAACAUGACAACCAUUCAAAUACUUAAAGACCUUUUUUGACCAUCUCCACCUCAUUGGAAACUUGAAAUCCACCCCUGGGUCGCUGGCUCUGAUAGGUGAUGGGAGCCCAGCUCAGGCCUUUGGACCUCAGGAAAGAGAGAAGUACAAGUAUGAGCAGAUGGGUAGCCAGGUCCGGUCCCCUGAUAUUCACUUAGGAUGUUCUAGCAGGAGGGCCUUGGUUGAUCUCAACUGCUGUGAAAGUUCACUGGGAGAAAAAUCAUCUCCAUGGUAACCAGGGCCAAAGCUGAUUAGUGCUUUUUGGAUCAACAUCCACAGUGAUUGGAAGUAAAUGAGUUUAAAGCUUGUGAAGACCACAGGGUGGUUCCUCCCACAAGUAUUUGAGCCACAAGGGAUGAAGCCAACAAAUUCGGCUGCCAUCAGUGAAACUCAUCUUCCCCUAGGCCCCAAGGAUUGGG